Molecule: ribosomal RNA, 410 nt
Filed under: Oncaea shmelevi
Lineage: Eukaryota; Metazoa; Arthropoda; Copepoda; Poecilostomatoida; Oncaeidae
Description: partial 12S ribosomal RNA
Source: RNAcentral
UUUAUGGAAGUAUUUACUAUACUUUAAUAAAAAAUUUUUUAAAAUAAUUGGUUUAAUAAAUAAAUAUAAUUAAAAAAUUGAGUUAAAAAUUAAACAUAUUUUUUUAAAAAAAGACUUGUAUCUUUGUAUAAUAUAUUAAAUUUUGUGGUAGUGUAAGAAACCUAAAAUACGGGGCAGUAAAAUAUUCAAAUCAGGGAAUUUUGAAAAAUAAUUUGAUAAUCCUCAAUUUCAUUUACUUUAAAUAAUUUUGUGUGUGGUUGUUAAAAGAUAAUUUUAGCGUUAAAUUUUAGAUCAGAUUUCGCGUAGUUUAUAUUAAAGGACUUUUUGAAAUGUGAUAUAAAAUUAAUUUUUUUUUUAACAUAAUAUAAUACUUGAAAGUAAACUAAAAAGCUAUGAAUCUGUUUUAUUUU